Molecule: long non-coding RNA, 894 nt
Filed under: Rosa chinensis
Lineage: Eukaryota; Viridiplantae; Streptophyta; Magnoliopsida; Rosales; Rosaceae
Description: sRNA RchiOBHm_Chr6g0305851
Source: RNAcentral
CUCCUCUCUUUCCUUGCCCCAAAUUUCAGAUCUGAUGAAAUCUCCCUCUCACUCUCUCAGUCCCUCCCUCACCCUUCUCUGAGUUCUCAGCUCCGACCUGCUCUCUCUGAGUUGUCUCGAACAGCCUCCUCUCUUUGCUUGCCCCAAAUUUCAGAUCUGAUGAAAUCUCCCUCUCACUCUCUCAGUCCCUCCCUCACCCUUCUCUGAGUUCUCAGCUCCGGCCUGCUCUCUCUGAGUUGUCUCGAUCUCCGAAUAUCGAAAUCCUCCUCCGCUCUCUCUGUCACGGAAUCAAAACUGAAGGUCAAGGCUUGACCGUUACUUUUUCUCAACAUCUCUCUCUCUCUCUCUCGCUGUGAUCAAAGCUUCUUCUUCUUCUUUGCAAUACCCAGGACUAUGAUCCUGAAUCUCAUUAUGGUCCACAUUCAUCUUAUUAUGGGCGCAAUCAAUCAUAUGGUGGGGGUCACUACUAUUAGACCCUAGAACUAUUCGGGUUCUACUCUACUUUUCGGUGGCUCUGUUUUCUUGUGAUUAACGUUUACAAAUGAAAAGGAUUUGAUUCGAGGCCGGCAUAGUCCCAUCUGUAUCCAGUUUGAUUUCAAAAGAGUUGCAGACUUGCAGAUUUGUGUACUUGUCGAGUUGUCAUGGAGGUUUGGACUUGUGGAGCAAGGCAGCAGGUCGAGCAACUAGAGCCUAAAGGCCUAGAGCAGUGCAGCUUCAGUUAUUUCUUAGUUGGACAGUUUGACUAUUUGUGCAGAACUGCAAAUUGUGUUUAACUGUUUAUGUUUCUGUUGGACAAUGUAUUCUGGAUUUCUGGACUCUUGAGUUUGUGUUGUAAAUUGUAAACUGUGGCUAAAUUUGAUUAUUGCAAAUUGAUUAUAGUUAUGUUAAUGAGAU